RNAcentral lists this ribosomal RNA (383 nucleotides) under Clionidae sp. USNM IZ 1448333. RNAcentral's name for it is "SSU rRNA". It matches the Rfam family "Eukaryotic small subunit ribosomal RNA", at positions 51 to 414 of the family's 1831-position model. RNAcentral also lists the same sequence under 7 other names. The record is from RNAcentral. Lineage: Eukaryota; Metazoa; Mollusca; Gastropoda; Pteropoda; Clionidae.
AUGCAUGUCUAAGUUCACACUGUCUCACGGUGAAACCGCGAAUGGCUCAUUAAAUCAGUCGAGGUUCCUUAGAUGACACGAUCCUACUUGGAUAACUGUGGCAAUUCUAGAGCUAAUACAUGCUUAUGAAGCUCCGACCCUUGUGGAAAGAGCGCUUUUAUUAGUUCAAAACCAAUCGUCGUUGCUCGCAAGAGCGGCGGCGUCCCCAUUGGUGACUCUGGAUAACUUUGUGCUGAUCGCAUGGCCCCUGUGCUGGCGACGCAUCUUUCAAAUGUCUGCCCUAUCAAAUGUCGAUGGUACGUGAUAUGCCUACCAUGUUUGUAACGGGUAACGGGGAAUCAGGGUUCGAUUCCGGAGAGGGAGCAUGAGAAACGGCUACCACA